AUGGUUCUGAAUUAAGGCCGGCAGCUUUCUGAAGCUGUUCGUUUCAAGGAGCCCAAAGUGAUGUCUUUCUAUGUCUGUCGGUCAUUUCAGAUCAAUUCAUUAGAAAGAACUCCCC
Molecule: small nucleolar RNA, 115 nt
Filed under: Cavia porcellus (domestic guinea pig)
Lineage: Eukaryota; Metazoa; Chordata; Mammalia; Rodentia; Caviidae
Source: RNAcentral